GAGUUUGAUCCUGGCUCAGAGUGAACGCUGGCGGUAGGCCUAACACAUGCAAGUCGAACGGCAGCACAGUAAGAGCUUGCUCUUAUGGGUGGCGAGUGGCGGACGGGUGAGGAAUACAUCGGAAUCUACUUUUUCGUGGGGAUAACGCAGGGAAACUUACGCUAAUACCGCAUACGACCUACGGGUGAAAGCAGGGGAUCUUCGGACCUUGCGCGAUUGAAUGAGCCGAUGUCGGAUUAGCUAGUUGGCGGGGUAAAGGCCCACCAAGGCGACGAUCCGUAGCUGGUCUGAGAGGAUGAUCAGCCACACUGGAACUGAGACACGGUCCAGACUCCUACGGGAGGCAGCAGUGGGGAAUAUUGGACAAUGGGCGCAAGCCUGAUCCAGCCAUACCGCGUGGUGAAGAAGGCCUCGGUUGUAAG
RNAcentral lists this ribosomal RNA (422 nucleotides) under uncultured microorganism. RNAcentral's name for it is "bacterial SSU rRNA". It matches the Rfam family "Bacterial small subunit ribosomal RNA", at positions 9 to 429 of the family's 1533-position model. The record is from RNAcentral.